UAGUUUCGUUGCGUGGCAGCAGAUAAGAUGCCAGAGUACUGUUGAGGAUUUUUCUGUCCUAAUCGGCGGACGAGCGCAAAUAGACCCCGGGGGAUUACUUUUCACAAGUGCUGUGAGCUGCGUGAUCCGCCGAGCUUUAACAAGCUAAGAUGUCAAGAGUCAUGCACGUUGUGCGGGAGGAUCUGGAACAGAUGAUGUUUUCCUUCGUAGAGAGCACAAUGAGACCCAGUUUGGAAUCGACAACCAUCAGUCUGACUUGUUGUCAUUGGUUGUGUCUGUGUUUAUAAAGAUAAGGCUCCACCAUGUUGCCAAACUCACUUCUCUUGAACUACAGAAAGGGAGCACGGGAAAGAAGCUCUGCAAAACAGUCCUCUUUAUCUUUAUCAUAUUUACAGUGUGUGAUUUAUAAAAUAUCUUAUAUACUGUAUAUUGAUUGAUUGAUUGAUUGAUUGAUUUUUACUGUAUAGCUUAUACAUGGUUAAAAUAAAGAAAAACAUUCUCGUCCGGACCAAGGUGGUACUCAGCAGUGCCAGCACUCAAGCUUAAAAUCCUACAGCUCAAAUGAAUCUGAGGGUAAAGUGUUUUCAGCUGUCGGCUCGAGAGCAUCUAGUCUGUCUCAGUUGGGUUCAGGCCGACAGAGUCAUUCAGGAAGCUAAAAGAGUUCUGCUGGACAGCUCGGAUUUUAGCCAGAUAUAAGAUAAAGAAAUCCUGGAUGAUGUAAUUCGACUUGAUGUAUUUGUUGUAAAGUUCAUGGAUUACUUGGCAUCCACAGCUAUCUGUGUGUUUAUUGCUUUGUCCAGCAUUCUUUUAUGGAGCAUCCUUUACCGCUGCAUGUUUUUGAUGUCAGAUCUUAUGCUACCUUAUGCAAUGUUACUAAACUCUUCAAAUGUUUAGAGGUUACUAAAUAAUUUUAAUGUUACUUUAUUCAGUUUUGUUUUAAGGUGGGAAAUAUCUUCAAUUUGAGUUUGUCUGGUAAACUUUGGUUUAUUGCAUUUUUCACUUGAAAAUAAAUAUUUUACAAGUGCUCA
Non-coding RNA from Misgurnus anguillicaudatus (oriental weatherfish), 1028 nucleotides. The record is from RefSeq and is a predicted model, not a curated record. NCBI's taxonomy places the organism in Eukaryota, Metazoa, Chordata, Actinopteri, Cypriniformes, Cobitidae.